RNAcentral lists this small RNA (133 nucleotides) under Caulobacter vibrioides NA1000. RNAcentral's name for it is "cell cycle regulated sRNA". The record is from RNAcentral. Lineage: Bacteria; Pseudomonadati; Pseudomonadota; Alphaproteobacteria; Caulobacterales; Caulobacteraceae.
ACCCCCGGCGCUUGUCGCUCGGGCUUCCAGACCGUCUUCUUUCUAGUGGACGGCCCUCUUCGGGCGGAGCCCAUCGGCCCCCGAAGGCUGAAAACGAUGCGAGGGCGCGCCGAAACAUGGGCGCGCCCUAUGU